UUGGUCGUCGAUCAGGCAAAG
Caenorhabditis elegans is the source of this 21-nucleotide non-coding RNA. The record is from Ensembl. NCBI's taxonomy places the organism in Eukaryota, Metazoa, Nematoda, Chromadorea, Rhabditida, Rhabditidae.